Molecule: ribosomal RNA, 489 nt
Filed under: uncultured bacterium
Lineage: Bacteria
Description: partial 16S ribosomal RNA
Rfam family: Bacterial small subunit ribosomal RNA
Source: RNAcentral
GACGAACGCUGGCGGCGUGCUUAACACAUGCAAGUCGAACGGUGAAGGGAUCAGCUUGCUGGUUCUGGAUGAGUGGCGAACGGGUGAGUAACACGUGAGUAACCUGCUCCCUUCUUCUGGAUAACCGCAUGAAAGUGUGGCUAAUACGGGAUAUUCUGCGCCUGCUGCAUGGUGGGUGUGGGAAAGAUAUUGUUUCGGUGGGGGAUGGGCUCGCGGCCUAUCAGCUUGUUGGUGGGGUGAUGGCCUACCAAGGCGGUGACGGGUAGCCGGCCUGAGAGGGUGGACGGUCACACUGGGACUGAGACACGGCCCAGACUCCUACGGGAGGCAGCAGUGGGGAAUAUUGCACAAUGGGCGCAAGCCUGAUGCAGCGACGCCGCGUGAGGGAUGGAGGCCUUCGUGUUGUGAACCUCUUUCGCCAGUGAAGCAGGCCUGUCCCUUGUGGGUGGGUUGACGGUAGCUGGAUAAGAAGCGCCGGCUAACUACGUG